AUUGAACGCUGGCGGCAGGCUUAACACAUGCAAGUCGAGCGAGCGGCGGACGGGUGAGUAAUGUCUGGGAAACUGCCUGAUGGAGGGGGAUAACUACUGGAAACGGUAGCUAAUACCGCAUACCAUCAGAUGUGCCCAGAUGGGAUUAGCUAGUGGGUGGGGUAAUGGCUCACCUAGGCGACGAUCCCUAGCUGGUCUGAGAGGAUGACCAGCCACACUGGAACUGAGACACGGUCCAGACUCCUACGGGAGGCAGCAGUGGGGAAUAUUGGACAAUGGGCGCAAGCCUGAUGCAGCCAUGCCGCGUGUGUGAAGAAGGCCUUCGGGUUGUAAAGCACUUUCAGCGGGGAGGCGGUACUCGCAGAAUAAGCACCGGCUAACGACGUGCCAGCAGCCGCGGUAAUAC
Molecule: ribosomal RNA, 406 nt
Filed under: uncultured bacterium
Lineage: Bacteria
Description: partial 16S ribosomal RNA
Rfam family: Bacterial small subunit ribosomal RNA
Source: RNAcentral